This is an unclassified non-coding RNA of Microcebus murinus (gray mouse lemur), 114 nucleotides long. It matches the Rfam family "Y RNA". From Rfam's summary of the family: Y RNAs are components of the Ro ribonucleoprotein particle (Ro RNP), in association with Ro60 and La proteins. The Y RNAs and Ro60 and La proteins are well conserved, but the function of the Ro RNP is not known. Lineage: Eukaryota; Metazoa; Chordata; Mammalia; Primates; Cheirogaleidae. The record is from Ensembl.
GGCUGGUCCGAAGGUAGUGAGUUAUCUCACGUGAUUGUUCACAGUCAGUUACAGAUUGAACUCCUUGUUCUACUAGUUUCCCCCCUCCUCACUACUGCACUUGACUAGUCUUAA